Molecule: transfer RNA, 78 nt
Filed under: Pseudochryseolinea flava
Lineage: Bacteria; Pseudomonadati; Bacteroidota; Cytophagia; Cytophagales; Fulvivirgaceae
Description: Chryseolinea flava tRNA-Pro
Rfam family: tRNA
About the family: Transfer RNA (tRNA) molecules are approximately 80 nucleotides in length. Their secondary structure includes four short double-helical elements and three loops (D, anti-codon, and T loops).
Source: RNAcentral
CGGGGUGUAGCGCAGCCCGGUUAGCGCACCACGUUAGGGACGUGGGGGUCGGAUGUUCGAAUCAUCUCACCCCGACUA